AGACAUGCAAGUCGAACGAACGACCUCGGGCUUGCCCGGGGAAGUGAGUGGCGGACGGCUGAGUAACGCGUGGGUGACCUGUCCAGAAGUGGGGAAUAACUGCCCGAAAGGGUGGCUAAUACCGCAUGUGGUCACGAAUUCAUUUUCGUGAUCAAAGCCUUCGGGCGCUUUUGGAGGGGCCCGCGUUCGAUUAGCUCGUUGGUGAGGUAACGGCUCACCAAGGCGACGAUCGAUAGGUGGUCUGAGAGGAUGAUCACCCAGACUGGGACUGAGACACGGCCCAGACUCCUACGGGAGGCAGCAGUCGGGAAUUUUGCUCAAUGGGGGAAACCCUGAAGCAGCAACGCCGCGUGAGGGAUGAAGGCCUUCGGGUUGUAAACCUCUUUUCUCAGGGACGAUAAUGACGGUACCUGAGGAAUAAGCCACGGCUAACUACGUGCCAGCAGCCGCGGUAAUACGUAGGUGGCAAGCGUUGUCCGGAUUUACUGGGCGUAAAGAGCGCGCAGGCGGUCAAGUCAGUCGAAUGUGAAAGCCCCCGGCUCAACUGGGGAAGGUCAUCCGAUACUGCUUGACUUGAAGGUAGGAGAGGGAAGUGGAAUUUCAGGUGUAGUGGUGAAAUGCGUAGAUAUCUGAAGGAACACCAGUGGCGAAGGCGACUUUCUGGCCUAUUCUUGACGCUGAGGCGCGAAAGCUAGGGGAGCGAACGGGAUUAGAUACCCCGGUAGUCCUAGCCGUAAACGAUGAACACUAGAUGUUGGUGGUAUCACCCCCGCCAGUGUCGCAGCU
Molecule: ribosomal RNA, 786 nt
Filed under: marine sediment metagenome
Description: bacterial SSU rRNA
Rfam family: Bacterial small subunit ribosomal RNA
Source: RNAcentral